CUUGGUCAUUUAGAGGAAGUAAAAGUCGUAACAAGGUCUCCGUAGGUGAACCUGCGGAGGGAUCAUUACCGAGUGAGGGCCCUCGCGCCCGACCUCCAACCCUUUGUCGAUUUCUAUCUGUUGCCUCGGGGGGCGACCCGGCCGUCCGCGCCCGGGAGUCCCCCAGAGGACCAAUCAACUCUGCAUCUCUGCGUCGAGUAUUGAAUAAUAAAUCAAUCAAAACUUUUAACAACGGAUCUCUUGGUUCUGGCAUCGAUGAAGAACGCAGCGAAAUGCGAUAAGUAAUGUGAAUUGCAGAAUUCAGUGAAUCAUCGAAUCUUUGAACGCACAUUGCGCCCUUUGGCAUUCCGAAGGGCAUGCCCGUUCGAGCGUCAUUACACCAAUCAAGCCUGGCUUGGUCUUGGGCGUCGGGAGACCCCGCGCCCCUAAUUCAUCGGCUGGACGGUUCGAAUCUCAGCGUUGUGGUCAUUCAAUUCGCUGGCGAGGACGACCGGACGCGCCGUUAAACCUCUUAUCACAGGUUGACCUCGGAUCGGGUAGGGAUACCCGCUGAACUUAAGCAUAUCAAUAAGCGGAGGAAAAGAAACCAACAGGGAUUGCCCUAGUAACGGCGAGUGAAGCGGCAACAGCUCAAAUUUGAAAUCUGGCGCAAGCCCGAGUUGUAAUUUGUAGAGGAUGCUUCUAGGCAGCGGCCGGUCUAAGUUUCUUGGAACAGGACGUCAUAGAGGGUGAGAAUCCCGUAUGUGACCGGUUGGCACCUUAUACGUAGCUCCUUCGACGAGUCGAGUUGUUUGGGAAU
This 799-nucleotide small RNA is filed under the name uncultured Devriesia. RNAcentral describes it as "eukaryotic LSU rRNA". The stretch from base 523 to 799 matches the Rfam family "Eukaryotic large subunit ribosomal RNA", at positions 1 to 281 of the family's 3401-position model. Lineage: Eukaryota; Fungi; Ascomycota; Dothideomycetes; Mycosphaerellales; Teratosphaeriaceae. The record is from RNAcentral.